RNAcentral lists this ribosomal RNA (459 nucleotides) under uncultured bacterium. RNAcentral describes it as "partial 16S ribosomal RNA". It matches the Rfam family "Bacterial small subunit ribosomal RNA", at positions 338 to 795 of the family's 1533-position model. The record is from RNAcentral.
CCUACGGGGGGCAGCAGUGAGGAAUAUUGGUCAAUGGUCGGGAGACUGAACCAGCCAAGCCGCGUGAGGGAUGAAGGUACAGAGUAUCGUAAACCUCUUUUGUCAGGGAACAAAGGCGGGGACGUGUCCCCGGAUGAGUGUACCUGAAGACAACGCAUCGGCUAACUCCGUGCCAGCAGCCGCGGUAAUACGGAGGCUGCUAGCGUUAUCCGGAUUUAUUGGGUUUAAAGGGUGCGCAGGCGGUCUGUUAAGUCAGCGGUAAAAGCCCGGGGCACAACCCCGGCCCGCCGUUGAAACUGGCAGUCGCGAGUUGGAGAGAAGUAUGCGGAAUGCGCGGUGUAGCGGUGAAAUGCAUAGAUAUCGCGCAGAACUCCGAUUGCGAAGGCAGCAUGCCGGCUCCACACUGACGCUGAGGCACGAAAGCGUGGGUAUCGAACAGGAUUAGAUACCCCGGUAGUC